UGGGGGAUAUUGCACAAUGGGCGAAAGCCUGAUGCAGCGACGCCGCGUGGGGGAUGAAGGCUUUCGGGUUGUAAACCUCUUUCGCUAUCGAACAAGGCCCGCUUAGGGUGGGUUGAGGGUAGGUGGAGAAGAAGCGCCGGCUAACUACGUGCCAGCAGCCGCGGUAAUACGUAGGGCGCGAGCGUUGUCCGGAAGUAUUGGGCGUAAAGGGCUUGUAGGCGGCUUGUUGCGCCUGCUGUGAAAACGCGGGGCUUAACUUCGCGCGUGCAGUGGGUACGGGCAGGCUUGAGUGUGGUAGGGGUGACUGGAAUUCCAGGUGUAGCGGUGGAAUGCGCAGCUAUCUGGAGGAACACCGAUGGCGAAGGCAGGUCACUGGGCCAUUACUGACGCUGAGGAGCGAAAGCAUGGGUAGCGAACAGG
This 420-nucleotide ribosomal RNA is filed under the name bacterium. Its description in RNAcentral is "partial 16S ribosomal RNA". It matches the Rfam family "Bacterial small subunit ribosomal RNA", at positions 355 to 776 of the family's 1533-position model. The record is from RNAcentral.